GCCCUUAGAGUUUGAUCCUGGCUCAGGAUGAACGCUGGCGGUAUGCUUUACACAUGCAAGUCGUACGAGAGUUUUUAACUCAAGUGGCGGACGGGUGAGUAACACGUAAGAAUUUGCCUUUAGGAGGGGGAUAACAACUGGAAACGGUUGCUAAUACCCCAUAUGCUUUCGAGUAAAAUGGAAUUUUCCGCCUAAAGAGAAGCUUGCGGCUGAUUAGCUUGUUGGUGAGGUAAUGGCUCACCAAGGCGACGAUCAGUAUCUGGUUUGAGAGGACGAUCAGACACACUGGAACUGAGACACGGUCCAGACUCCUACGGGAGGCAGCAGUAGGGGAAUUUUCCGCAAUGGGCGAAAGCCUGACGAGAGCAAUACCGCGUGAGGGAUGACGGCCUAUGGGUUGUAAACCUCUUUUUUCAGGGAGGAAUCAAUGACGUGUACCUGAAGAAUAAGCAUCGGCUAACUCCGUGCCAGCAGCCCGCGGUAAGACGGAGGAUGCAAGUGUUAUCCGGAAUCACCUGGGCGUAAAGCGUCUGUAGGUGGUCAAAAUAAAGUCAACUGUUAAAUCUUUGAGGCUCAACCUCAAAAUCGCAGUCGAAACUAAUUCCGACUAGAGUAUAGUAGGGGUAAAGGGAAUUUCCCAGUGGAGCGGUGAAAUGCGUAGAGAUUGGAAAGAACACCGAUGGGCGAAGGCACUUUUACUGGGCUAUUUACUAACACUGAGAGACGAAAGCUAGGGUAGCAAAUGGGAUUAGAUACCCCAGUAGUCCUAGCCGUAAACAAUGGAUACUAGAUGUUGAACAGAUCGACCUGUGCAGUAUCAAAGCUAACGCGUUAAGUAUCCCGCCUGGGAAGUAUGCUCGCAAGAGUGAAACUCAAAUGAAUUGACGGGGAAGGGC
Molecule: ribosomal RNA, 896 nt
Filed under: uncultured bacterium
Lineage: Bacteria
Description: bacterial SSU rRNA
Rfam family: Bacterial small subunit ribosomal RNA
Source: RNAcentral